RNAcentral lists this ribosomal RNA (492 nucleotides) under uncultured bacterium. Its description in RNAcentral is "partial 16S ribosomal RNA". It matches the Rfam family "Bacterial small subunit ribosomal RNA", at positions 29 to 507 of the family's 1533-position model. The record is from RNAcentral.
AGUGAACGCUGGCGGUAGGCCUAACACAUGCAAGUCGAACGGCAGCACAGUAAGAGCUUGCUCUUACGGGUGGCGAGUGGCGGACGGGUGAGGAAUACAUCGGAAUCUACUUUUUCGUGGGGGAUAACGUAGGGAAACUUACGCUAAUACCGCAUACGACCUACGGGUGAAAGCAGGGGAUCUUCGGACCUUGCGCGAUUGAAUGAGCCGAUGUCGGAUUAGCUAGUUGGCGGGGUAAAGGCCAACCAAGGCGACGAUCCGUAGCUGGUCUGAGAGGAUGAUCAGCCACACUGGAACUGAGACACGGUCCAGACUCCUACGGGAGGCAGCAGUGGGGAAUAUUGGACAAUGGGCGCAAGCCUGAUCCAGCCAUACCGCGUGGGUGAAGAGGGCCUUCGGGUUGUAAAGCCCUUUUGUUGGGAAAGAAAAGCAGCAGGUUAAUACCCCGCUGUUCUGACGGUACCCAAAGAAUAAGCACCGGCUAACUUCGUG